This 561-nucleotide ribosomal RNA is filed under the name uncultured bacterium. Its description in RNAcentral is "bacterial SSU rRNA". It matches the Rfam family "Bacterial small subunit ribosomal RNA", at positions 102 to 659 of the family's 1533-position model. The record is from RNAcentral.
ACGGGUGAGUAGUGUGUGGAGAUCUGCCCUAUAGAGGGGGAUAACCUCUGGAAACGGUGGCUAAUACCGCAUAACCUCUCAAGACCAAAGAGGGAGACCUUCGGCCCUCUCUCUAUCAGAUGAACCCAUAUGGGAUUAUCUAGUACGGGGGGUAAUGGCCCACCUACGACAAUAUCCCUAUGUGGUCAGAGAAGAUGACCACCCACUCUGGAACUGACACACGGUCCACACUCCUACGGGAGGCAGCAGUGGAGAAUAUUGCACAGUGGGCGCAAGCCUGAUGCACCCAUGCCGCGUGUAUGAAAAAGGCCUUCGGGUUGUAAAGUACUUUCCGCGGAGAAGAAGGCGGUGAGGUUAAUAACCUUGCCGAUUGACUUUACCCGCAAAAAAAGCACCGGCUAACUCCGUGCCAGCCCCCGCGGUAAUACAGAGGGUGCAAGCGUUAAUCAAAAUUACUGGGCGUAAAGCGCACGCACGCGGUCUGUUAACUCAUAUGUGAAAUCCCCGGGCUUAACCUGAAAACUGCAUUUGAAACUGGCGCGCUUGUCUCUCGUAGAGGGG